ACGACCUCGCAGGACAGGCCCUUGGUCAUGUCCUGCAGGCGCGCGGCGACAUUCACGGAAUCGCCGAGGGCGGUGAAGACGGUGUGUUCCUCAGAACCGANNNNNNCCAUGAAUGCCGACCCCGAACCGCAGCGGUUCCGGCACGUCGUCGCCGAGAAAUUCAUUCAGUGCAUCGACGUGGAUCGCGAUCCGCGAUGCGG
This 200-nucleotide unclassified non-coding RNA is filed under the name Hevea brasiliensis (rubber tree). Lineage: Eukaryota; Viridiplantae; Streptophyta; Magnoliopsida; Malpighiales; Euphorbiaceae. The record is from RNAcentral.